UGCGCAGGCGGGAGGAUAGGUCGGAUGUGAAAACCCCGGGCUCAACCCGGGGCCUGCAUCCGAAACCAUUCUUCUUGAGUAUCGGAGAGGGAAGCGGAACUCCAGGUGUAGCGGUGAAAUGCGUAGAUAUCGUGGGGGAACACCGGUGGCGAAGGCGGCUUCCUGGACGAAUACUGACGCUCAUGCACGAAGGCUAGGGGAGCAAACA
RNAcentral lists this ribosomal RNA (208 nucleotides) under uncultured bacterium. RNAcentral describes it as "partial 16S ribosomal RNA". It matches the Rfam family "Bacterial small subunit ribosomal RNA", at positions 568 to 774 of the family's 1533-position model. The record is from RNAcentral.